RNAcentral lists this small RNA (2207 nucleotides) under Pongo abelii (Sumatran orangutan). Its description in RNAcentral is "retained intron". Lineage: Eukaryota; Metazoa; Chordata; Mammalia; Primates; Hominidae. The record is from RNAcentral.
GAUCAGUUAGUUCUCAUUCUUAUAAUUUUAGUUCUCAUCCUUAUAAUUUAGGUCAAAGCGCAUGUCAGAAAGCAGCAAAGUUAUUCAUUUAACAUCUUUUACUGACAUUUCUGAAUGUCUCAAGCCCCAGCUGGAUAGAAGAUACGCUUAUACAGAAGAACCUAAGGUUAAAACCAUGUCAGAUGUUGGUGCCUUGGGAGGAUUUGACAUGGAAAAUUUGUUGCAAUCUUUGUAUGUAGAAAAUAGAGCUGGAUUCUUCUUUACUAAAUUCUGCGAGCAUUCAGGGAACAAGUUGUGGAAGAACAGUGUGUACUUUUGGUUUGACCUGCAGGCUUAUCAUCAGCUUUUCUACCAAGAAACACUUCAGCCUUUUAAAGUAUGCAAGCAAGCGCAAUAUCUUUUUGCCACAUACGUUGCUCCUUCUGCCACUCUUGACAUUGGACUCCAACAGGAAAAGAAAAAAGAAAUUUAUAUGAAAAUACAGCCACCAUUUGAAGACCUUUUUGACACAGCAGAGGAAUAUAUCCUUCUCCUCCUUCUUGAGCCAUGGACAAAGAUGGUAAAAUCGGACAAAAUUGCUUAUAAAAAGGUGGAGCUGGUGGAAGAAACUCGACAGUUAGACUCCACAUACUUCAGAAAGCUACAGGCUUUGCAUAAAGAGACAUUUUCCAAGAAAGCUGAGGACACCACUUGUGAAAUUGGAACUGGCAUUUUAUCACUCUCUAACGUCUCUAAACGAACAGAAUAUUGGGAUAAUGUUCCUGCAGAAUACAAGCAUUUUAAGUUUAGUGAUCUGCUUAACAACAAACUGGAGUUUGAACAUUUCCGUCAGUUUCUUGAGACUCAUUCUUCAAGCAUGGAUCUUAUGUGCUGGACAGACAUUGAGCAGUUCCGGAGAAUAACUUACAGAGAUCGAAAUCAAAGGAAGGCAAAAUCUAUAUACAUUAAAAACAAAUACCUUAAUAAAAAAUAUUUCUUUGGACCCAACAGUCCAGCUUCUCUGUAUCAGCAGAACCAGGUAAUGCAUUUAAGUGGUGGCUGGGGGAAGAUUCUUCAUGAGCAGCUUGAUGCACCUGUUCUAGUUGAAAUCCAGAAGCAUGUGCAAAAUAGGCUAGAAAAUGUAUGGCUGCCAUUGUUUCUUGCAAGUGAACAGUUUGCAGCACGUCAAAAGAUAAAGGUACAGAUGAAAGACAUAGCAGAAGAGCUCUUACUACAGAAGCCUGGAAAGAAAAUCGGGGUCUGGAAGCCUGUGGAGAGUAAGUGGAUCUCUUCAUCUUGUAAAAUCAUUGCUUUUCGCAAAGCAUUAUUGAAUCCAGUUACUUCAAGACAAUUUCAACGUUUUGUGGCUCUAAAAGGAGAUUUAUUGGAAAAUGGUUUACUCUUUUGGCAAGAAGUACAAAAAUAUAAGGACUUGUGCCAUUCUCACUGUGAUGAGUCUGUCAUCCAGAAGAAGAUUACAACUAUUAUCAACUGCUUUAUUAAUUCCAGUAUUCCACCAGCUUUACAAAUUGACAUUCCAGUAGAGCAAGCCCAGAAGAUUAUUGAACACUGGAAGGAGUUAGGACCAUAUGUAUUUAGAGAGGCACAGAUGACAAUUUUUGGGGUUCUGUUUAAAUUCUGGCCUCAGUUCUGUGAGUUUAGGAAGAAUUUAACAGAUGAAAAUAUUAUGAGUGUUUUAGAAAGAAGACAAGAAUAUAAUAAACAGAAAAAAAAAUUGGCAGUCCUAGAAGACGAAAAAUCUGGAAAGGAUGGAAUCAAACAAUAUGCAAAUACUUCAGUGCCUGCUAUCAAAACUGCUUUACUCAGUGAUUCCUUCCUAGGCCUCCAACCAUAUGGCCGACAGCCAACCUGGUGCUACUCAAAGUAUAUAGAAGCCUUAGAACAGGAGAGAAUUCUUCUUAAGAUCCAAGAAGAACUAGAAAAAAAGUUGUUUGCAGGCUUGCAACCUCUCACAAAUUUUAAGGCUAGUGCUUCAACUAUGUCUUUGAAAAAGAAUAUGUCUGCCCACAGCAGCCAGAAGUGACAGCAUUCAUGUGAGUGUUCACAUCCUGCUGCUGAUAGGUUCAAGGAAUUCUUUAAACCAGAUUUUGCUGACAUGAGAAGCUCCAGUGAUUUGUUUUUUUGAAGGUCUGUAUCAGAGCAAGCCUAACAUCUAAAUAAAGUUUGAUUCUGGAUUAUCCAGGUGGGAAAUAAAUAAAGAAAAUUUG